GAUGAACGCUGGCGGCGUGCCUAAUACAUGCAAGUCGAGCGAACAGACGAGGAGCUUGCUCCUCUGACGUUAGCGGCGGACGGGUGAGUAACACGUGGAUAACCUACCUAUAAGACUGGGAUAACUUCGGGAAACCGGAGCUAAUACCGGAUAAUAUAUUGAACCGCAUGGUUCAAUAGUGAAAGACGGUUUUGCUGUCACUGAUAGAUGGAUCCGCGCCGCAUUAGCUAGUUGGUAAGGUAACGGCUUACCAAGGCAACGAUGCGUAGCCGACCUGAGAGGGUGAUCGGCCACACUGGAACUGAGACACGGUCCAGACUCCUACGGGAGGCAGCAGUAGGGAAUCUUCCGCAAUGGGCGAAAGCCUGACGGAGCAACGCCGCGUGAGUGAUGAAGGUCUUGGGAUCGUAAAACUCUGUUAUUAGGGAAGAACAAAUGUGUAAGUAACUAUGCACGUCUUGACGGUACCUAAACAGAAAGCCACGGCUAACUACGUG
This 497-nucleotide ribosomal RNA is filed under the name uncultured bacterium. RNAcentral describes it as "partial 16S ribosomal RNA". It matches the Rfam family "Bacterial small subunit ribosomal RNA", at positions 28 to 507 of the family's 1533-position model. The record is from RNAcentral.